RNAcentral lists this ribosomal RNA (579 nucleotides) under Andesiops peruvianus complex sp. E63 estac.4. Its description in RNAcentral is "SSU rRNA". It matches the Rfam family "Eukaryotic small subunit ribosomal RNA", at positions 577 to 1125 of the family's 1831-position model. The record is from RNAcentral. Lineage: Eukaryota; Metazoa; Arthropoda; Insecta; Ephemeroptera; Baetidae.
CGGAUUAGCUCCUUGGCGUAUAUUAAAGUUGUUGCGGUUAAAAAAGCUCCGUAGUUGGAUCUGUGUAUCGGACGGCCGGUUCGCCGCUCGCGGCGUUCAACUGGUCGGUCCGGACGUCCUGCCGGUGGGCGUCUCCGCGAGGAGGCGUCCGUAGCUCCCUCCGGGCUGCUCUUAACCGGGUGGCUCGGUGGGCCGGCACGUUUACUUUGAACAAAUUUGAGUGCUCAAAGCAGGCCUUUGGUCGCCUGAAAACUGUGUGCAUGGAAUAAUGGAAUAGGGCCUCGGUUCUAUUUUGUUGGCUUUUCUGAACUCGAGGCAAUGAUUAAUAGGGACAGACGGGGGCAUUCGUAUUGCGGCGUUAGAGGUGAAAUUCUUGGAUCGCCGCAAGACGAACGGAUGCGAAAGCGUUUGCCAAGAAUGUUUUCGCUAAUCAAGAACGAAAGUUAGAGGUUCGAAGGCGAUCAGAUACCGCCCUAGUUCUAACCAUAAACGAUGCCAGCCAGCGAUGCGCCGAAGUUCCUCCGAUGACUCGGCGCGCAGCUUCCGGGAAACCAAAGCUUUUGGGUUCCGGGGGAAGUA